Molecule: non-coding RNA, 253 nt
Filed under: uncultured bacterium
Lineage: Bacteria
Also listed under: 1 other name
Description: partial 16S ribosomal RNA
Rfam family: Bacterial small subunit ribosomal RNA
Source: RNAcentral
UACGGAGGGUGCAAGCGUUGUCCGGAUUUAUUGGGUUUAAAGGGUGCGUAGGCGGAUUAUUAAGUCAGUGGUGAAAGUUUGCGGCUCAACCGUAAAAGUGCCAUUGAUACUGGUAGUCUUGAGUACAGUAGAGGUAGGCGGAAUUUAUGGUGUAGCGGUGAAAUGCAUAGAUACCAUAAAGAACACCGAUAGCGAAGGCAGCUUACUAUACUGAGACUGACGCUGAGGCACGAAAGCGUGGGGAGCGAACAGG